GACGAACGCUGGCGGCGUGCUUAACACAUGCAAGUCGAACGGAAAGGCCCUGCUUUUGUGGGGUGCUCGAGUGGCGAACGGGUGAGUAACACGUGAGUAUCCUGCCCUUGACUUUGGGAUAACUUCAGGAAACUGGGGCUAAUACCGGAUAGGUGCUCCUGCUGCAUGGUGGGGGUUGGAAAGUUUCGGCGGUUGUGGAUGGACUCGCGGCUUAUCAGCUUGUUGGUGGGGUAGUGGCUUACCAAGGCUUUGACGGGUAGCCGGCCUGAGAGGGUGACCGGCCACAUGGGGACUGAGAGACGGACCAGACUCGUACGGGAGGCAGCAGUGGGAAAUAUUGCACAAUGGGCGGAAGCCUGAUGCAGAGACGCCGCGUGCGGGAUGAAGGCCUUCGGGGGAUAAACCGCUUUCGCCUGUGACGAAGCGGGAGUGACGGUAAUGGGUAAAGAAGCACCGGCUAACUACGUG
RNAcentral lists this ribosomal RNA (468 nucleotides) under uncultured bacterium. RNAcentral describes it as "partial 16S ribosomal RNA". It matches the Rfam family "Bacterial small subunit ribosomal RNA", at positions 28 to 507 of the family's 1533-position model. The record is from RNAcentral.